This 75-nucleotide transfer RNA is filed under the name Cryptococcus deneoformans B-3501A. RNAcentral's name for it is "tRNA-Ile". It matches the Rfam family "tRNA". From Rfam's summary of the family: Transfer RNA (tRNA) molecules are approximately 80 nucleotides in length. Lineage: Eukaryota; Fungi; Basidiomycota; Tremellomycetes; Tremellales; Cryptococcaceae. The record is from RNAcentral.
UUCCCGUUAACUCAGUGGUCAGAGUAGUGUGCUUAUGAUUCACACCGGUCGUGGGUUCAACUCCCACACGGGAAA